Molecule: microRNA, 21 nt
Filed under: Zea mays
Lineage: Eukaryota; Viridiplantae; Streptophyta; Magnoliopsida; Poales; Poaceae
Description: microRNA miR-3151
Source: RNAcentral
UAGAAAAGCGCUUGUGAUGUU